RNAcentral lists this ribosomal RNA (496 nucleotides) under uncultured bacterium. RNAcentral's name for it is "partial 16S ribosomal RNA". It matches the Rfam family "Bacterial small subunit ribosomal RNA", at positions 28 to 506 of the family's 1533-position model. The record is from RNAcentral.
GAUGAACGCUGGCGGCGUGCCUAAUACAUGCAAGUCGAGCGAACGGACGAGAAGCUUGCUUCUCUGAUGUUAGCGGCGGACGGGUGAGUAACACGUGGAUAACCUACCUAUAAGACUGGGAUAACUUCGGGAAACCGGAGCUAAUACCGGAUAAUAUUUUGAACCGCAUGGUUCAAAAGUGAAAGACGGUCUUGCUGUCACUUAUAGAUGGAUCCGCGCUGCAUUAGCUAGUUGGUAAGGUAACGGCUUACCAAGGCAACGAUGCAUAGCCGACCUGAGAGGGGGAUGGGCAACACGGGAACGAGGACAGGGUCCAAAUCCCCACGGAGGGCAGCAGUGGGAAGUCUGCCGCAAUGGGCGAAAGCCGGGGGGGAAAACGCGGGGGUGAUGUGGAGGGUCUUCGGAUCUAAAAACUCUGUUAUUAGGGAAAAAAAAAUGUUAAGGAAACUGGGCAGAUUUGGAGGGGACUUAACCGAAAAGCCACGGCAAACUACGG